UACAUAGGUGGCAAGCGUUAUCCGGAUUUAUUGGGCGUAAAGGGAACGCAGGCGGUCUUUUAAGUCUGAUGUGAAAGCCUUCGGCUUAACCGGAGUAGUGCAUUGGAAACUGGGAGACUUGAGUGCAGAAGAGGAGAGUGGAACUCCAUGUGUAGCGGUGAAAUGCGUAGAUAUAUGGAAGAACACCAGUGGCGAAAGCGGCUCUCUGGUCUGUAACUGACGCUGAGGUUCGAAAGCGUGGGUAGCAAACAGG
This 253-nucleotide ribosomal RNA is filed under the name uncultured bacterium. RNAcentral describes it as "partial 16S ribosomal RNA". It matches the Rfam family "Bacterial small subunit ribosomal RNA", at positions 524 to 776 of the family's 1533-position model. The record is from RNAcentral.